GACCCAUUAGCUCAGUUGGUUAGAGCGUUGUGCUAAUAACGCGAAGGUUGCAGGUUCGAGACCUGCAUGGGCCA
This 74-nucleotide transfer RNA is filed under the name Solanum lycopersicum (tomato). RNAcentral's name for it is "tRNA-Ile (AAT) (tRNA-Ile-AAT-7-1)". It matches the Rfam family "tRNA". From Rfam's summary of the family: Transfer RNA (tRNA) molecules are approximately 80 nucleotides in length. Their secondary structure includes four short double-helical elements and three loops (D, anti-codon, and T loops). The record is from Rfam by way of RNAcentral. Lineage: Eukaryota; Viridiplantae; Streptophyta; Magnoliopsida; Solanales; Solanaceae.